Long non-coding RNA from Pipistrellus kuhlii (Kuhl's pipistrelle), 445 nucleotides. RefSeq lists it as uncharacterized. NCBI's taxonomy places the organism in Eukaryota, Metazoa, Chordata, Mammalia, Chiroptera, Vespertilionidae. The transcript is spliced from 3 exons. The record is from RefSeq and is a predicted model, not a curated record.
UCCAUUCCUUCUUUCCCCAGGAGGUGAGGCGCGGCGAAGAGAGCAGGUCAUCCCAGCGGCUUUCUUGAAGGUGGUGAUGGCACAGAGCUAUAUGGUCGGUAUUGCAGAAAAAAAUGCCUGCCUCAUCACAGCGGCCCACAGGAAACCUUGCACAAUAAAGCAUUAGGCUGAGUCGUGCAAUCCUUCUUCAGAACCUGCUGUUGGGCAGAGAAUUGGACUUUGAGAGAAGACCACGCCAGUGAGUUGCACUGCAGUUAUACUUGCUAUCCUAAGCAAGCAGUCCAUUUCUUUCACAAUUUCUGUGACAGAAGAUCAGGCCAUUCUUAAUAAUGCAAUAAACAUUUUGCUCCUGUUUUCAGCUUCUUACAUGUGUGACUAAGCUGCUUUGUGUAACAAGCAUCUUGAGCAAUGUAAUUAAUGUAAUUUCUAAUUGAAAAUAAAUGCC